This 335-nucleotide unclassified non-coding RNA is filed under the name soil metagenome. RNAcentral's name for it is "partial contains 5.8S ribosomal RNA, internal transcribed spacer 2, and large subunit ribosomal RNA". The stretch from base 1 to 120 matches the Rfam family "5.8S ribosomal RNA", at positions 35 to 154 of the family's 154-position model. The record is from RNAcentral.
GAUGAAGAACGCAGCGAAAUGCGAUAAGUAAUGUGAAUUGCAGAAUUCAGUGAAUCAUCGAAUCUUUGAACGCACAUUGCGCCCGCCAGUAUUCUGGCGGGCAUGCCUGUUCGAGCGUCAUUUCAACCAUCAAGCCCCCGGCUUGUGUUGGGGACCUGCGGCUGCCCGCAGGCCCUGAAAACCAGUGGCGGGCUCGCUGUCACACCGAGCGUAGUAGCAACAUCUCGCUCAGGGCGUGCUGCGGGUUCCGGCCGUUAAAAGCCUUUUACACCCAAGGUUGACCUCGGAUCAGGUAGGAAGACCCGCUGAACUUAAGCAUAUCAAUAAGCGGAGGA